AUUGAACGCUGGCGGCAGGCUUAACACAUGCAAGUCGAGCGGAGAUGAGGUGCUUGCACCUUAUCUUAGCGGCGGACGGGUGAGUAAUGCUUAGGAAUCUGCCUAUUAGUGGGGGACAACAUUCCGAAAGGAAUGCUAAUACCGCAUACGUCCUACGGGAGAAAGCAGGGGAUCUUCGGACCUUGCGCUAACAGAUGAGCCUAAGUCGGAUUAGCUAGUUGGUGGGGUAAAGGCCUACCAAGGCGACGAUCUGUAGCGGGUCUGAGAGGAUGAUCCGCCACACUGGGACUGAGACACGGCCCAGACUCCUACGGGAGGCAGCAGUGGGAAAUAUUGGACAAUGGGGGGAACCCUGAUCCAGCCAUGCCGCGUGUGUGAAGAAGGCCUUAUGGUUGUAAAGCACUUUAAGCGAGGAGGAGGCUACUGAGACUAAUACUCUUGGAUAGUGGACGUUACUCGCAGAAUAAGCACCGGCUAACUCUGUGCCAGCCGCCGCGGUAA
RNAcentral lists this ribosomal RNA (501 nucleotides) under uncultured Pseudomonadales bacterium. RNAcentral's name for it is "bacterial SSU rRNA". It matches the Rfam family "Bacterial small subunit ribosomal RNA", at positions 30 to 523 of the family's 1533-position model. Lineage: Bacteria; Pseudomonadati; Pseudomonadota; Gammaproteobacteria; Pseudomonadales. The record is from RNAcentral.